RNAcentral lists this ribosomal RNA (480 nucleotides) under Vibrio natriegens. RNAcentral describes it as "bacterial SSU rRNA". It matches the Rfam family "Bacterial small subunit ribosomal RNA", at positions 290 to 762 of the family's 1533-position model. The record is from RNAcentral. Lineage: Bacteria; Pseudomonadati; Pseudomonadota; Gammaproteobacteria; Vibrionales; Vibrionaceae.
GUCUGAGAGGAUGAUCAGCCACACUGGAACUGAGACACGGUCCAGACUCCUACGGGAGGCAGCAGUGGGGAAUAUUGCACAAUGGGCGCAAGCCUGAUGCAGCCAUGCCGCGUGUGUGAAGAAGGCCUUCGGGUUGUAAAGCACUUUCAGUCGUGAGGAAGGUGGUGUCGUUAAUAGCUGCAUUAUUUGACGUUAGCGACAGAAGAAGCACCGGCUAACUCCGUGCCAGCAGCCGCGGUAAUACGGAGGGUGCGAGCGUUAAUCGGAAUUACUGGGCGUAAAGCGCAUGCAGGUGGUUUGUUAAGUCAGAUGUGAAAGCCCGGGGCUCAACCUCGGAAUAGCAUUUGAAACUGGCAGACUAGAGUACUGUAGAGGGGGGUAGAAUUUCAGGUGUAGCGGUGAAAUGCGUAGAGAUCUGAAGGAAUACCGGUGGCGAAGGCGGCCCCCUGGACAGAUACUGACACUCAGAUGCGAAAGCGU